UACGUAGGUGGCAAGCGUUAUCCGGAAUUAUUGGGCGUAAAGAGCGCGCAGGCGGUUGAUUAAGUCUGAUGUGAAAGCCCACGGCUUAACCGUGGAGGGUCGUUGGAAACUGGUCGACUUGAGUGCAGAAGAGGGAAGUGGAAUUCCAUGUGUAGCGGUGAAAUGCGUAGAGAUAUGGAGGAACACCAGUGGCGAAGGCGGCUUCCUGGUCUGUAACUGACACUGAGGCGCGAAAGCGUGGGGAGCAAACAGGAUUAGAUACCCU
RNAcentral lists this ribosomal RNA (265 nucleotides) under uncultured prokaryote. Its description in RNAcentral is "partial 16S ribosomal RNA". It matches the Rfam family "Bacterial small subunit ribosomal RNA", at positions 524 to 788 of the family's 1533-position model. The record is from RNAcentral.